UGGGGAAUAUUGCACAAUGGGCGCAAGCCUGAUGCAGCCAUGCCGCGUGUGUGAAGAAGGCCUUCGGGUUGUAAAGCACUUUCAGCGGGGAGGAAGGCGAUAAGGUUAAUAACAUCAUCGAUUGACGUUACCCGCAGAAGAAGCACCGGCUAACUCCGUGCCAGCAGCCGCGGUAAUACGGAGGGUGCAAGCGUUAAUCGGAAUUACUGGGCGUAAAGCGCACGCAGGCGGUCUGUCAAGUCGGAUGUGAAAUCCCCGGGCUUAACCUGGGAACUGCAUUCGAAACUGGCAGGCUAGAGUCUUGUAGAGGGGGGUAGAAUUCCAGGUGUAGCGGUGAAAUGCGUAGAGAUCUGGAGGAAUACCGGUGGCGAAGGCGGCCCCCUGGACAAAGACUGACGCUCAGGUGCGAAAGCGUGGGGAGCAAACAGG
This 429-nucleotide ribosomal RNA is filed under the name Chloroflexota bacterium. RNAcentral's name for it is "Chloroflexi bacterium partial 16S ribosomal RNA". It matches the Rfam family "Bacterial small subunit ribosomal RNA", at positions 355 to 776 of the family's 1533-position model. Lineage: Bacteria; Bacillati; Chloroflexota. The record is from RNAcentral.